This 1270-nucleotide long non-coding RNA is filed under the name Numida meleagris (helmeted guineafowl). Its description in RNAcentral is "lncRNA (ENSNMEG00000013819.1)". The record is from RNAcentral. Lineage: Eukaryota; Metazoa; Chordata; Aves; Galliformes; Numididae.
AUGCUGUCCUUGGAGCCAUGUCUCAACAAACAGAAUUUAUCCCUUCCUCCAUCCAUCCUAAACUACAGAUCUGACCCCACAAGCCACCCCAGCUCCAUGCCCAUGAGCAUAACCCCUCAUGAGAAGGCUGGGGCAGCAGGUGGGCUGUGCUGCUGUCAUUAUGACAUCGCCUUGCCCACCAGUGGGUGGGUGUUGCUUUGGGGAAGACAACAUCAGAUGAUGACAACUCCUGUUGUGAUGCUGGGAGCCAGGAGCAGUGUGGAAGCAGUGAUGACUCGUGCAGCUGGGAAGCAGUGCUGCUCAACCUCCAAAAUCCGAUCUCCGUCAAGAAAGCUUAAAAAGUUUAUGGCAAACAGUUGAGAAGCUGGAUGUGGAAAUAGUACUUCAACAUCAGACAUUUGCUGGCCUAUCCUGGAUCACUUCUGAGGGACACCUGUCCAACUUUGCCCACGGGCUGUGCACGCCUUGCUCCUGUCCCUUGCAGAGCUGCUGCCAUGGGCACGGAAUGCUGAGCUCAAUCCUCUUGGUGCUGAGCGUGGAAGUGGCACCUUUAAAGGCAGAGUACCGGUGUGUGCAUAAAACCAUCUCUUUUUUAUUACUCUCAUUUUGUUUUUCUUCCUGUUACUAAUCUCAUUAUGCUUAGGAGUGUAAAUUUAGGUUGGCACAAAUCUGUAUUGCUGAAAUAUUUUACCUUAAGUUCUUCGAAGCUCUCUCCAUCUGUGAGGAUAAUGCUAAGUAUUAAUUAACCAGCUAAUCCUAUGCAGUGCUUGCAAAACAUAAAACACCGUGUGGAAGCAGGUCCAAAGCGUGAUUCUGACCUCCUAACAGACUUCUUUGGGGAGAAUGAUUCAGGGUUUUCUCAUUGCACCGAGCGGUGCCAAGCCUGAUGUGAGCAGGUUUGCUGUGCUCGCACCAUGCGGUGCUGCCCUGCUCCACCCCCAUAUCUGCAUCAGCUCUGGGGGCAGUGGGCUCUGCCCUGGUGCCCUGUACCCACCCAGCUCCAUUUGCCAGUGAUGCGAGGGGUAUCGGUGCAAAAUCUGUUCAUUAGUGGAGUAAUUGAGCUUCUGAUUUCCAAUGACAGGCUGAGCCCAGAUCCGUGCUGACUUGUGUGCAACCAGCAUCCCUCAAAGAGGAGCUGUGGGGUUUGUGCGCUGUGUCAGGACGGGCAGGGGCAGAAAUCCAGUGUCUGCUUUUGUGGUGUCGAGCAAUAGGGGAAGUCUGCGUUUCUGUGCAGUGUUCUCUGCUGGGGAAAAACUCCAGAGCAGAGUGC